RNAcentral lists this unclassified non-coding RNA (811 nucleotides) under uncultured Clavulina. Its description in RNAcentral is "sequence contains ITS1, 5.8S rRNA gene and ITS2". The stretch from base 255 to 408 matches the Rfam family "5.8S ribosomal RNA". The record is from RNAcentral. Lineage: Eukaryota; Fungi; Basidiomycota; Agaricomycetes; Cantharellales; Hydnaceae.
AAGUCGUAACAAGGUUUCCGUAGGUGAACCUGCGGAAGGAUCAUUAAUGAGUUGUGAUGGGGUUUGAUGCUGGCAGCCAAUUUUUGGAUGCAUGUGCUUGCCCUAACAAUCAUCUUCCAAACACCUGUGCACAUUUUUGAGGGAGUUUCGAGUUUUAUUGCCGUUUUUGGUGAUUUUCUUGUAUUCCCUUGAAUUAUUAUACGCUGUUAACAAUGAUGAACGUGCUCUGUGCCGCAAGGCCAUUAAUAUAAUACAACUUUUAACAACGGAUCUCUUGGCUCUCGCAUCGAUGAAGAACGCAGCGAAAUGCGAUAAGUAAUGUGAAUUGCAGAAUUCAGUGAAUCAUCGAAUCUUUGAACGCACCUUGCGCUCCCUGGUAUUCCGGGGAGCACGCCUGUUCGAGUGUCGCGAAAUUUCUCAAGCUUGGAUGGCCUUUUUGUCUGUCCUUAGCCUUGGUUGUUGGGCUUUGCCGUGUCCUUUGUUGGGACGGCUGGCCUUAAAAGCAUUAGCUGAUCCUCGUGUGGCACUGGUUCUACUCAGCGUGAUAACAGUCUGAUCGCUGAGGACAUCUUUUGGGAUGGCCAGUUCUCAUUUGGGUUGCUUCCAAACUUGGUUUUGCAGAUUCUUCAAUCUGUGUUCCACUUUUCAGCUUUGACCUCGAAUCAGGUGGGACUACCCGCUGAACUUAAGCAUAUCAAUAAGCGGAGGAAAAGAAACUAACAAGGAUUCCCCUAGUAACGGCGAGUGAAGCGGGAAGAGCUCAAAUUUAAAAUCUGGCAAUCUUUGGUUGUCCGAAUUGUAAUCUAGAGAA